GCUCGCCUAGCUCAACGGUCAGAGCUACGGACUCAUAACCCGCAGGUUCCCGGUUCGAAUCCGGGGGCGAGCA
RNAcentral lists this transfer RNA (73 nucleotides) under Fibrobacter sp. RNAcentral describes it as "tRNA-Ile". It matches the Rfam family "tRNA". Rfam says of the family: Transfer RNA (tRNA) molecules are approximately 80 nucleotides in length. RNAcentral also lists the same sequence under 1 other name. The record is from RNAcentral. Lineage: Bacteria; Pseudomonadati; Fibrobacterota; Fibrobacteria; Fibrobacterales; Fibrobacteraceae.